AUGAAGAAGAAGAGGAGCAAGAGGUCCAGGCUCUCCGCCGCGCUGCGGGAGCUCAGGCUGGCGGCCAAGGCGAGGGACAAGGAGGGGCUCCUUCAGAUCCUCGUCACCGGACACCGCACCAGCCGCGGAGGAUCCGGCAACGGCGAGCGCACCGGCGGAGCAUCGACGGAGCGCAGUGUGGCUGGCACGGGCGACGACCAGCGCGCGACACUGCGGUGGCAGGGACGCGGUGUCGAUGCAGCCGGGCGUGCGGAUGGUCCUCUUCUUGAGCUGGGGAGACCGACAGCAACCGGGGGAGCCAGCUGCGGCGGCCGUCGUUGCCCGAGUUGGGCGCUGGCAGUGGCGCUUGUGCUCGCGCUGGUUUGCGUGGUAGCGCUCGGGACGGCGCCGGCCAUCUGUUGCUGCACCUGCGCGGCCUGGUUGUGCGGCGGCUGCGGCGCGCAGGAGCAUGCAUCUGACCGGCGGCGGGGCGGCUCCUGCCGUGGCAGCGUCAGAGUAAUGCAGCAACAAGCCGGUAGUACACUGUAUCAUGCAGAGGUCACCAGUGGGUGA
RNAcentral lists this ribosomal RNA (552 nucleotides) under Triticum aestivum (bread wheat). RNAcentral describes it as "partial small subunit ribosomal RNA". Lineage: Eukaryota; Viridiplantae; Streptophyta; Magnoliopsida; Poales; Poaceae. The record is from RNAcentral.